AGAGUUUGAUCAUGGCUCAGAUUGAACGCUGGCGGCAGGCCUAACACAUGCAAGUCGAACGGUAACAGAAAGCAGCUUGCUGCUUUGCUGACGAGUGGCGGACGGGUGAGUAAUGUCUGGGAAACUGCCUGAUGGAGGGGGAUAACUACUGGAAACGGUAGCUAAUACCGCAUAACGUCGCAAGACCAAAGAGGGGGACCUUAGGGCCUCUUGCCAUCGGAUGUGCCCAGAUGGGAUUAGCUAGUAGGUGGGGUAACGGCUCACCUAGGCGACGAUCCCUAGCUGGUCUGAGAGGAUGACCAGCCACACUGGAACUGAGACACGGUCCAGACUCCUACGGGAGGCAGCAGUGGGGAAUAUUGCACAAUGGGCGCAAGCCUGAUGCAGCCAUGCCGCGUGUAUGAAGAAGGCCUUCGGGUUGUAAAGUACUUUCAGCGGGGAGGAAGGGAGUAAAGUUAAUACCUUUGCUCAUUGACGUUACCCGCAGAAGAAGCACCGGCUAACUCCGUGCCAGCAGCCGCGGUAAUACGGAGGGUGCAAGCGUUAAUCGGAAUUACUGGGCGUAAAGCGCACGCAGGCGGUUUGUUAAGUCAGAUGUGAAAUCCCCGGGCUCAACCUGGGAACUGCAUCUGAUACUGGCAGGCUUGAGUCUCGUAGAGGGGGGUAGAAUUCCAGGUGUAGCGGUGAAAUGCGUAGAGAUCUGGAGGAAUACCGGUGGCGAAGGCGGCCCCCUGGACGAAGACUGACGCUCAGGUGCGAAAGCGUGGGGAGCAAACAGGAUUAGAUACCCUGGUAGUCCACGCCGUAAACGAUGUCGACUUGGAGGUUGUGCCCUUGAGGCGUGGCUUCCGGAGCUAACGCGUUAAGUCGACCGCCUGGGGAGUACGGCCGCAAGGUUAAAACUCAAAUGAAUUGACGGGGGCCCGCACAAGCGGUGGAGCAUGUGGUUUAAUUCGAUGCAACGCGAAGAACCUUACCUGGUCUUGACAUCCACGGAAGUUUUCAGAGAUGAGAAUGUGCCUUCGGGAACCGUGAGACAGGUGCUGCAUGGCUGUCGUCAGCUCGUGUUGUGAAAUGUUGGGUUAAGUCCCGCAACGAGCGCAACCCUUAUCCUUUGUUGCCAGCGGUCCGGCCGGGAACUCAAAGGAGACUGCCAGUGAUAAACUGGAGGAAGGUGGGGAUGACGUCAAGUCAUCAUGGCCCUUACGACCAGGGCUACACACGUGCUACAAUGGCGCAUACAAAGAGAAGCGACCUCGCGAGAGCAAGCGGACCUCAUAAAGUGCGUCGUAGUCCGGAUUGGAGUCUGCAACUCGACUCCAUGAAGUCGGAAUCGCUAGUAAUCGUGGAUCAGAAUGCCACGGUGAAUACGUUCCCGGGCCUUGUACACACCGCCCGUCACACCAUGGGAGUGGGUUGCAAAAGAAGUAGGUAGCUUAACCUUCGGGAGGGCGCUUACCACUUUGUGAUUCAUGACUGGGGUGAAGUCGUAACAAGGUAACCGUAGGGGAACCUGCGGUUG
RNAcentral lists this ribosomal RNA (1522 nucleotides) under Escherichia coli. Its description in RNAcentral is "bacterial SSU rRNA". It matches the Rfam family "Bacterial small subunit ribosomal RNA". Lineage: Bacteria; Pseudomonadati; Pseudomonadota; Gammaproteobacteria; Enterobacterales; Enterobacteriaceae. The record is from RNAcentral.